AGAGUUGAUCCUGGCUCAGGACGAACGUUGGCGGCGCGCAUAAUGCAUGCAAGUCGAACGAAGUCCCACCCUUCGGGGUGACGACUUAGUGGCAGACGGCUGAGUAGCGCGUGAGUGAUCUGCCUUUGGGAAGGGAAUAACAGAGGGAAACUUCUGCUAAUACCGCAUACGAUCCACGGUGUAGAGGCCGUGGAUGAAAGGUGCCGGGUAACCGGUUUCCGCCCUUAGAUGAGCUCGCGUCCUAUCAGGUAGUUGGUGGGGUAAUGGCCUACCAAGCCUUAGACGGGUAACUGGUGUGAGAGCAUGACCAGUCAGAGGGGGACUGAGACACGGCCCCCACUCCUACGGGAGGCAGCAGCAGGGAAUCUUCCACAAUGGGCGAAAGCCUGAUGGAGCGACGCCGCGUGAGGGAUGAAGGCUCUAGGGUCGUAAACCUCUUUUCUCAGGGAAGAGCAAGGACGGUACCUGAGGAAUAAGUGACGGCUAACUACGUGCCAGCAGCCGCGGUAAUACGUAGGUCACAAACGUUGUCCGGAUUUAUUGGGCGUAAAGGGUCCGUAGGCGGUUCGGUAAGUCUCCUGUGAAAUCUUCAGGCUCAACUUGAAGAGGUCGGGAGAUACUGCCGGACUUGAGACUGUUAGAGGCAAGU
Molecule: ribosomal RNA, 649 nt
Filed under: uncultured bacterium
Lineage: Bacteria
Description: bacterial SSU rRNA
Rfam family: Bacterial small subunit ribosomal RNA
Source: RNAcentral